AUUGAACGCUGGCGGCAUGCCUUACACAUGCAAGUCGAACGGCAGCACGGGUGCUUGCACCUGGUGGCGAGUGGCGAACGGGUGAGUAAUACAUCGGAACAUGUCCUGUAGUGGGGGAUAGCCCGGCGAAAGCCGGAUUAAUACCGCAUACGAUCUACGGAUGACAGCGGGGGACCUUCGGGCCUCGCGCUAUAGGGUUGGCCGAUGGCUGAUUAGCUAGUUGGUGGGGUAAAGGCCUACCAAGGCGACGAUCAGUAGCUGGUCUGAGAGGACGACCAGCCACACUGGGACUGAGACACGGCCCAGACUCCUACGGGAGGCAGCAGUGGGGAAUUUUGGACAAUGGGCGAAAGCCUGAUCCAACAAUGCCGCGUGUGUGAAGAAGGCCUUCGGGUUGUAAAGCACUUUUGUCCGGAAAGAAAUCCUUGGCCCUAAUACGGUCGGGGGAUGACGGUACCGGAAGAAUAAGCACCGGCUAACUACGUG
Molecule: ribosomal RNA, 486 nt
Filed under: uncultured bacterium
Lineage: Bacteria
Description: partial 16S ribosomal RNA
Rfam family: Bacterial small subunit ribosomal RNA
Source: RNAcentral